UACGUAGGGGGCUAGCGUUGUCCGGAAUCAUUGGGCGUAAAGCGCGUGUAGGCGGCCCGGUAAGUCCGCUGUGAAAGUCGGGGGCUCAACCCUCGAAUGCCGGUGGAUACUGUCGGGCUAGAGUACGGAAGAGGCGAGUGGAAUUCCUGGUGUAGCGGUGAAAUGCGCAGAUAUCAGGAGGAACACCAACAGCGAAGGCAGCACUCUGGGCCGGUACUGACGCUGAGGAGCGAAAGCAUGGGGAACGAACAGG
This 253-nucleotide ribosomal RNA is filed under the name uncultured bacterium. RNAcentral describes it as "partial 16S ribosomal RNA". It matches the Rfam family "Bacterial small subunit ribosomal RNA", at positions 524 to 776 of the family's 1533-position model. The record is from RNAcentral.